GUUUACCUUCUUGCCAUAAGCAAUCCUUUAGGGGCUCAAGUGGAUCCCUUGAUCGACGGGAACUCCUACUCGUCUGCUCAUUUUGGACCUCCUCAAAGCAUAUCUAAACUCUACGCAUCUCAUCAAGCUGGUGGUUAACUAGCCAAUUCGAGGAAAAGGUUUCAACAGGCCUAGGAUUACAAGUGAAGCCCAGAUAUGUUCCCGAAAAAGAGCAACACUUUCUCAUUAAGAUACAGAUCACCUGCAACAUUUCCUCAUCAUCACAUUUCAUAACAUUCCCUUACUUUAGGAUGAGAGCGAGCUGCUUCUCUGCACCUUGUGUUGCAACAAAAUCCAGUUUCAAAAAUAUUAGGCUGGUUUGUUUAACAUUAAAAAAAAAAUUGUAAUGAGGUCCUCACUGAUGUGACAUUGUAUUUUCAGAAAUUUUAGAUUCCUAUUAUAUGGUGUUUACAUAUUUUACAAUUAAUCUGCUUUACAGGAUACACUACUUCAAAUAUGAGGCAGUAUGAGUAAAGUAGCUUCAGGCUAUCAGAAACCACGGUGUAGGAAAC
RNAcentral lists this long non-coding RNA (551 nucleotides) under Homo sapiens (human). RNAcentral describes it as "HSALNT0272966". The record is from RNAcentral. Lineage: Eukaryota; Metazoa; Chordata; Mammalia; Primates; Hominidae.